UCUUCAAUGGUAUAAUGGUAGAACUCACGCCUGUCAAAUAGUGAGAGUCAAAUCCCACUUUGAUUGUGCGCGUGCGACCUGGGUUCGAUUCCCAGUUGGAGAG
Tulasnella sp. JGI-2019a is the source of this 103-nucleotide non-coding RNA. NCBI's taxonomy places the organism in Eukaryota, Fungi, Basidiomycota, Agaricomycetes, Cantharellales, Tulasnellaceae. The record is from the annotation of a GenBank genome assembly.